UGUAGAUGACGCUGGCGGCGUGCUUAACACAUGCAAGUCGAACGAUGAUCCGGUGCUUGCAUCGGGGAUUAGUGGCGAACGGGUGAGUAACACGUGAGUAACCUGCCCUUGACUCUGGGAUAAGCCUGGGAAACUGGGUCUAAUACCGGAUACGACCAUCUGACGCAUGUCAUGGUGGUGGAAAGCUUUUGCGGUUUUGGAUGGACUCGCGGCCUAUCAGCUUGUUGGUGGGGUAAUGGCCUACCAAGGCGACGACGGGUAGCCGGCCUGAGAGGGUGACCGGCCACACUGGGACUGAGACACGGCCCAGACUCCUACGGGAGGCAGCAGUGGGGAAUAUUGCACAAUGGGCGAAAGCCUGAUGCAGCGACGCCGCGUGAGGGAUGACGGCCUUCGGGUUGUAAACCUCUUUCAGUAGGGAAGAAGCGAAAGUGACGGUACCUGCAGAAGAAGCGCCGGCUAACUACGUGCCAGCAGCCGCGGUAAUACGUAGGGCGCAAGCGUUAUCCGGAAUUAUUGGGCGUAAAGAGCUCGUAGGCGGUUUGUCGCGUCUGCUGUGAAAGACCGGGGCUCAACUCCGGUUCUGCAGUGGGUACGGGCAGACUAGAGUGAUGUAGGGGAGACUGGAAUUCCUGGUGUAGCGGUGAAAUGCGCAGAUAUCAGGAGGAACACCGAUGGCGAAGGCAGGUCUCUGGGCAUUAACUGACGCUGAGGAGCGAAAGCAUGGGGAGCGAACAGGAUUAGAUACCCUGGUAGUCCAUGCCGUAAACGUUGGGCACUAGGUGUGGGGGACAUUCCACGUUUUCCGCGCCGUAGCUAACGCAUUAAGUGCCCCGCCUGGAGA
RNAcentral lists this ribosomal RNA (844 nucleotides) under Arthrobacter sp. Its description in RNAcentral is "bacterial SSU rRNA". It matches the Rfam family "Bacterial small subunit ribosomal RNA", at positions 24 to 879 of the family's 1533-position model. Lineage: Bacteria; Bacillati; Actinomycetota; Actinomycetes; Micrococcales; Micrococcaceae. The record is from RNAcentral.